UCAAUAUCUAGGGGAUUUUUAGAUUUUUUCAUACUACUUUGGGCUUAUUUAUGGUGUUGAUGCUAAUAAGCAUAUUCAGAGGGUCCGUAAUGGUUUUGUUGAUAUUUUUUUAUGAGUAUAGGAGUGAUUCUUCUGAUUCUAUGAGUUCCAUUGCACUUGUUUAUGAAAAUAGUAGCUCAAGUGGUAGUCAAUUGCUUGUCGGUUCUUGAAAACAAGAAAGUUUGGCUGCUUUUCAUACGUGGUAUGCCCAGGAACGUGCUUCUAACAUUCACGCCUAUCAAAAAUCAGAGGUGGAGCAAUACUUGGAGGAGUUGGUGUUUCCAAGUAAUGAGAUUUUCAAUAUUCUACAUUGGUGGAAAGUCAAUAAAGCAAAAUUUCCUACUUUGUCAAGGAUGACUUGUGAUGUUUUAAGUGUUCCAGCUACUAUGGUUACAUCAGAGGUGGCAUUUAGUGUAGACGGUAGGGUGAUUGAUGAGACAUGGGCUUUAUUACUUCCAAAUAUUGUGGAGGCCCUGAUCACUUGCAAUGAUUGGAUUGAAUCAACCAAAAAUAGAAAUGUAGAAGAAUGCUCACGUGGGUAGAUGGAUUGAAAUAAACUAAUCCAUUUAAAGUUAUUUGGUGGGGGAACUAAUUGGUUCUUUGUUCUAAAAUUUUUAGUGUGUUGUGUUCCGGUGUUCAUUUAAGUAUAUUGUAACUCGCACUAAUCUCUGUCCACAUGACUAUGGUUUUCUAUUGUUAAGAAAGCUGUACUAAUCAAUAUGGGCUGACCAAAUGCUAUUUAAUUUUUCAAAAAGAGAGAUGUAUAUCGUGAAAUGCUCGUGAAAAUUCGUUGAAACUUCACAAAUUUGUAGUC
Camellia sinensis is the source of this 853-nucleotide non-coding RNA. The record is from RefSeq and is a predicted model, not a curated record. Lineage: Eukaryota; Viridiplantae; Streptophyta; Magnoliopsida; Ericales; Theaceae.